CGGGACGUGGCGCAGCCUGGUAGCGCGCACGCUUGGGGUGCGUGAGGUCGCGAGUUCGAAUCUCGCCGUCCCGACCA
Molecule: transfer RNA, 77 nt
Filed under: Acidobacteriota bacterium
Lineage: Bacteria; Pseudomonadati; Acidobacteriota
Also listed under: 3 other names
Description: Acidobacteria bacterium tRNA-Pro
Rfam family: tRNA
About the family: Transfer RNA (tRNA) molecules are approximately 80 nucleotides in length.
Source: RNAcentral